UACAGAGGGUGCAAGCGUUGUUCGGAAUUACUGGGCGUAAAGGGCGUGUAGGCGGUUUGAUAAGUCAGAUGUUAAAGACCCGGGCUUAACCCGGGGGCUGCGUUUGAAACUGUCAGACUAGAGAGCAGGAGGGGAGAAUGGAAUUUCCGGUGUAGAGGUAAAAUUCGUAGAUAUCGGAAGGAACACCAGUGGCGAAGGCGAUUCUCUGGACUGCAACUGACGCUGAGGCGCGAAAGCGUGGGGAG
This 245-nucleotide ribosomal RNA is filed under the name uncultured bacterium. Its description in RNAcentral is "partial 16S ribosomal RNA". It matches the Rfam family "Bacterial small subunit ribosomal RNA", at positions 524 to 768 of the family's 1533-position model. The record is from RNAcentral.